UACGUAGGGGCCGAGCGUUGUCCGGAGUUAUUGGGCGUAAAGCGCGCGCAGGCGGCCUCGCGCGCCCGACGUGAAAGCCCCCGGCUUAACCGGGGAGGGUCGUUGGGGACGGCGGGGCUUGAGGGCGGGAGAGGGCGGUGGAAUUCCCGGUGUAGUGGUGAAAUGCGUAGAGAUCGGGAGGAACACCUGUGGCGAAGGCAGCCGUCUGGGCCGACCCUGACGCUGAGGCGCGAAGGCGUGGGGAGCGAACGGG
RNAcentral lists this ribosomal RNA (253 nucleotides) under uncultured bacterium. RNAcentral's name for it is "partial 16S ribosomal RNA". It matches the Rfam family "Bacterial small subunit ribosomal RNA", at positions 524 to 776 of the family's 1533-position model. The record is from RNAcentral.